UACAAGCAGUCACAAUAACAACAACUAUUCCUGCCACACAGAUAAGCCCCAAAUCCUUCUAGGUGGCGGCGGAUCUCGGGGUCUCUCGGCCGGAAGGAGCUCGCACGAGUCCAUCCCGGCAGCCCUCACAAGAUAUUUGGGGGUACCGACAGCACCUAGUGCAACUCUUGCCACUUACUUGGAGCAGUGCAUUAAUGCUCUCUGAGCACCAUCAUAUGGAGCCAUGGGCAGGAAACGACUUAUCACAGACUCUUUCCAAGUGGUGAAGAAGAGGAAAAGAGAUAAGGAAGCAAAGAAGGCUCAGAGCCCACUCCACGAAACAGUGACAGUCCAGACAGAAUCACUCCUUCAAGAUGCUGCGCAGCCAGACCAGCUGGAGAUGUUGAAACAGUUUGACCUCAGCUGGCAGUACGGCCCCUGUACUGGAAUUACCCGCUUGCAGCGCUGGGAGAGAGCAGAGUUAUUGGGUCUCAACCCCCCUGCUAUGGUGCAGGAGCUGCUGCAGAAGCACCGUGACAACCCUCUUGUUAUGUACAGGUGAAGACUUAUUUAUUCCAGCAGGCUUUUGGAGUAGAAGUUGUUUAAGACAGGACUUCUAGAGCCUGUGGCAUGAAUAUUGCCUCUGAGAAGAGCAACUGGUGGUAUCUCAGCCUGAGGAGGAGUUCCUGCUGCUUUGACAUCAUCGCCACUUGGAUAAUUCCUUCAUUCCUAUAGUGGAAGAUGUUCUGUGGUACGGCAGAAGGACCCUGGAAAGAUGUCAAGGCCUACCAGCUGAUCCCCACUUGUGGUUCUGGCCUCAGAAUAAAAGCUUGUUAACUGAGUACUUAGGUGGUUGGGGAUAAUUGAAGCUGGUGAUUGUCAGUUUGCUGUGCUAAAAAAAAAAGAUGAAUAGUUCUUGAAGUCAAGCUUGAUAUGAUAUUGCAUUUUUAAAUUGUCAUUUGUAUACUCUUUUAAAACUUGUUUGAUUUUUGUAA
Molecule: RNA transcript, 974 nt
Organism: Rhineura floridana
Lineage: Eukaryota; Metazoa; Chordata; Lepidosauria; Squamata; Rhineuridae
Gene: POLD4
Gene name: DNA polymerase delta 4, accessory subunit
Exons: 6
Source: RefSeq, a predicted model, not a curated record